AAAUUUUGACAAUGGGGGCAACCCUGAUCCAGCCAAGCCGCGUGUGUGAAAAAGGUCUUCGGAUUGUAAAGCACUUUUAGUUGGGAGGAAGGGCUUUAGGUUAAUAACCUGUAGUUUGGACGUUAACAAGAGAAUAACGACAGGGCAACUUUUGGCCAACAGCCGGGGUAAUACAGAGGGUGCAAGCGUUUAUCGGAAUUACUGGGCGUAAGGCGGGCGUAGGGGGUUCAGUAAGAUGGGUGUGAAAUCCCCGGGCUUAACCUGGGAACUGCUUUCAUAACUGCUGAGCUAGAGUACGGUAGAGGGUAGUGGAAUUUCCUGUGUAGCGGUGAAAUGCGUAGAUAUAGGAAGGAACACCAGUGGCGAAGGCGACUACCUGGACUGAUACUGACACUGAGGUGCGAAAGCGUGGGGAGCAAAU
Molecule: ribosomal RNA, 421 nt
Filed under: uncultured bacterium
Lineage: Bacteria
Description: partial 16S ribosomal RNA
Rfam family: Bacterial small subunit ribosomal RNA
Source: RNAcentral